AAUCAACGCUGGCGGCGUGCCUCAGACAUGCAAGUCGAACGAUUAAAGCUCUCUUCGGAGAGUGUAUAGAGUGGCGCACGGGUGAGUAACACGUAAGUAAUCUACCUUUGAGUGGGGAAUAACAUCGGGAAACCGAUGCUAAUACCGCAUAAUGCAGCGGCAUCGCAAGAUGACAGUUGUUAAAGAUUUAUCGCUUGAAGAGGAGCUUGCGGCAGAUUAGCUAGUUGGUAAGGUAAUGGCUUACCAAGGCUACGAUCUGUAACCGGUCUAAGAGGACGGUCGGUCACACUGACAUUGAAUAACGGGUCAGACUCCUACGGGAGGCAGCAGUCGGGAAUUUUGGGCAAUGGGCGAAAGCCUGACCCAGCAACGCCGCGUGAAGGAUGAAGUAUUUCGGUAUGUAAACUUCGAAAGAAUGGGAAGAAUAAAUGACGGUACCAUUUAU
Molecule: ribosomal RNA, 445 nt
Filed under: uncultured bacterium
Lineage: Bacteria
Description: bacterial SSU rRNA
Rfam family: Bacterial small subunit ribosomal RNA
Source: RNAcentral